This 98-nucleotide ribosomal RNA is filed under the name Streptococcus criceti. Its description in RNAcentral is "partial 23S ribosomal RNA". It matches the Rfam family "Bacterial large subunit ribosomal RNA", at positions 1 to 98 of the family's 2925-position model. The record is from RNAcentral. Lineage: Bacteria; Bacillati; Bacillota; Bacilli; Lactobacillales; Streptococcaceae.
GGUUAAGUUAAUAAGGGCGCACGGUGGAUGCCUUGGCACUAGGAGCCGAUGAAGGACGUGAUUAACGACGAAAUGCUUUGGGGAGCUGUAAGUAAGCA